UUGACCUCAAAUCAGGUAGGACUACCCGCUGAACUUAAGCAUAUCAAUAAGCGGAGGAAAAGAAACUAACAAGGAUUCCCCUAGUAACCGCGAGUGAAGCGGGAAAAGCUCAAAUUUAAAAUCUGGUAGUCUUUGGCUGCCCGAGUUGUAAUCUAGAGAAGCAUUAUCUGCGCUGGACUGUGUAUAAGUGUCCUGGAAUAGACCAUCAUAGAGGGUGACAAUCCCGUCUUUGACACAGACUCCCAGUGCUUUGUGAUGUGCUCUCAAAGAGUCGAGUUGUUUGGGAAUGCAGCUCUAAAUGGGUGGUAAGUUCCAUCUAAAGCUAAAUAUUGG
Molecule: ribosomal RNA, 333 nt
Filed under: Termitomyces sp. Group5
Lineage: Eukaryota; Fungi; Basidiomycota; Agaricomycetes; Agaricales; Lyophyllaceae
Description: eukaryotic LSU rRNA
Rfam family: Eukaryotic large subunit ribosomal RNA
Source: RNAcentral